GCGGAGGUAGCCAAGUCUGGUCAACGGCGCUAGAUUCAGGGUCUAGUCUCGCAGGGGUUCCGGGGUUCGAAUCCUCGCCUCCGCA
Molecule: transfer RNA, 85 nt
Filed under: Methanomassiliicoccales archaeon
Lineage: Archaea; Methanobacteriati; Thermoplasmatota; Thermoplasmata; Methanomassiliicoccales
Also listed under: 1 other name
Description: tRNA-Leu
Rfam family: tRNA
About the family: Transfer RNA (tRNA) molecules are approximately 80 nucleotides in length. Their secondary structure includes four short double-helical elements and three loops (D, anti-codon, and T loops).
Source: RNAcentral